RNAcentral lists this ribosomal RNA (460 nucleotides) under uncultured bacterium. RNAcentral's name for it is "partial 16S ribosomal RNA". It matches the Rfam family "Bacterial small subunit ribosomal RNA", at positions 338 to 795 of the family's 1533-position model. The record is from RNAcentral.
CCUACGGGAGGCUGCAGUGAGGAAUAUUGGUCAAUGGACGCGAGUCUGAACCAGCCAAGUAGCGUGAAGGAUGACUGCCCUACGGGUUGUAAACUUCUUUUAUAUGGGAAUAAAAUGUUCCACGUGUGGCAUUUUGUAUGUACCAUAUGAAUAAGGAUCGGCUAACUCCGUGCCAGCAGCCGCGGUAAUACGGAGGAUCCGAGCGUUAUCCGGAUUUAUUGGGUUUAAAGGGCGCGUAGGUGGAUUGUUAAGUCAGUUGUGAAAGUUUGCGGCUCAACCGUAAAAUUGCAGUUGAAACUGGCAGUCUUGAGUACAGUAGAGGUGGGCGGAAUUCGUGGUGUAGCGGUGAAAUGCUUAGAUAUCACGAAGAACUCCGAUUGCGAAGGCAGCUCACUGGACUGCAACUGACACUGAGGCUCGAAAGUGUGGGUAUCAAACAGGAUUAGAUACCCCUGUAGUC